UUCAGAUCUUUUCCCAGUUGAGUCAGUAUGGAAGAAGAGACUCCUGAACUGAUUCUUGAUUUUAUAUCAAGUAAACUGGGAACCAGUGAUAUAAAGUUUCUCGGAAUACAUCUUGGUCUCGAUAGCAACGACCUUGAAACCAUUUCCUGUGACUACAAGAAUACUCACGAGGUUAAAUUUCAGACCUUAUGGAAAUGGUUUAGUAAAAGUGACUCUUCGAGUUAUACCGAACGUUUAACAUCCGCUUUAAUUUCAAUUGAAAACAGACUUGCAGCAGAUGAACUCAAUUCAUUGGAUGUAAAACAGCUUUAUUUUAAAGGAGAGAUACCUUUUCCUAGUAAGCGUAUUUCUGACAAGGAUCUUGAUUUUCUCUCGGCGCACGUUGUUACAGAUUAUCAAAGAAUUGCAAGGUUUUUAGGAAUGCGGCAGGACAAAUUACAUACAUAUCAUGAGAAAUAUGUAAAAGACCAAGCUAUGCGAUGCUUAAAAGACUGCAAUAAGAUGGACGCAAUUUCGAGAAAGAGUAUGUGUAAUGCAUUGAACUAUGCUGAGCGCCAGAAUCUUGUGCAUCAACUGGUGAAUUCGUGGAACAAAAAAUAAUGUUGAUGUUCUUAUGCUCAUUGUUGAAGGCCAUACGAUGACCUAUAAUUGUUCAUUUCUGUGUCAUUUGGUCUCUUGUGGAGAGUUGUCUCAUUGACAAUCAUACCAUAUCUUCUUUUUUUAUCUUAUAUCUUUUACCUUAAGACAAUUUCUUAUUUAAACGAAUAAAUGGACGAAUCCUAA
Long non-coding RNA from Mytilus californianus (California mussel), 783 nucleotides. RefSeq lists it as uncharacterized. NCBI's taxonomy places the organism in Eukaryota, Metazoa, Mollusca, Bivalvia, Mytilida, Mytilidae. The transcript has 2 exons. The record is from RefSeq and is a predicted model, not a curated record.